Long non-coding RNA from Manihot esculenta (cassava), 586 nucleotides. RefSeq lists it as uncharacterized. The transcript is spliced from 2 exons. The record is from RefSeq and is a predicted model, not a curated record. Lineage: Eukaryota; Viridiplantae; Streptophyta; Magnoliopsida; Malpighiales; Euphorbiaceae.
UCUAGCCACUGCAUUUAUGUUCAUUGUGUCCCGGAAGUGAGGUUGCAGAAGUUUGUAUAUUGGAUGAAGCACACUUAGAUGCCUAUUUGUUGCAAUCACAAAUGGCUCGAUCGCUGCAUGGGUGUGCAACCUAUGAAGAAAAUUUCAUACCAGUGGCUGAUAAGCUGGUGAAUGCCAGAAUCAAUUACAGCCACAUAUGCUUUAGCCAGUUGCCAUAUGGAACCUUCAAUGCCAUGCUCAGCUGGUGUGCAUACUUUGCUAAUGGCACCGAGUUUAUCUCCCUCAGGAUGAGGCAAGCUUAAUUCGAUCGCAAGAGGCUUAAGAGUACCAUCAUCUUUCAAGAAAAGUAGGGUCCUGGUUGCAUAUGUCUUUGUGGAAGUAGCAUUUAUCCGCCUCAGGUAUGGCAUGACUGUAUCAUGGUGAUCUAAUAUGUAUAGCUUCUUGUUCUUGAUUGCCUUCACCACCAUUAAUACAACAAAUGUUCAAUUGUGGGAUUGAUUAAAUUCAACUAAUCCCGACAAGAACAUCAUUGAUUUUGAUUGUAAACUCAGUUGUGAAAGAAACGAAAAAGAGUAGCAUUACCUCA